RNAcentral lists this ribosomal RNA (404 nucleotides) under uncultured prokaryote. RNAcentral's name for it is "bacterial SSU rRNA". It matches the Rfam family "Bacterial small subunit ribosomal RNA", at positions 355 to 776 of the family's 1533-position model. RNAcentral also lists the same sequence under 1 other name. The record is from RNAcentral.
UGGGGAAUAUUGGACAAUGGGGGAAACCCUGAUCCAGCGACGCCGCGUGAGUGAAGAAGUAUUUCGGUAUGUAAAGCUCUAUCAGCAGGGAAGAAAAUGACGGUACCUGACUAAGAAGCCCCGGCUAACUACGUGCCAGCAGCCGCGGUAAUACGUAGGGGGCAAGCGUUAUCCGGAUUUACUGGGUGUAAAGGGAGCGUAGACGGUGCAGCAAGUCUGAAGUGAAAUCCCAGGGCUCAACCCUGGAACUGCUUUGGAAACUGUUGAACUAGAGUGCAGGAGAGGUAAGUGGAAUUCCUAGUGUAGCGGUGAAAUGCGUAGAUAUUAGGAGGAACACCAGUGGCGAAGGCGGCUUACUGGACUGUAACUGACGUUGAGGCUCGAAAGCGUGGGGAGCAAACAGG